UUGCCAUCCUACUUCUCAUCCUACGGGCCGCUGGCUCUGACCGUAUAUAAGUGCUCCUCGGUGCGCAGCUGCUCUCCCGUUCCGUGCUCCGAUUGUUUUCCCCUUCACUCUUCGUUUUGCUGCUUCUCGCGAGUCACGAUCUCUCUCCCAGAGAUGGCGUUGGGGAAGAUCAAGGUCGCGAACCCGAUCGUUGAGAUGGACGGGGAUGAAAUGACUCGGGUCAUCUGGAAAUCAAUCAAAGAUAAGCUUAUCUUCCCAUUUCUGGACUUGAAUAUCAAGUACUUUGACUUGGGACUUCCCAAUCGUGAUGCUACAAAUGACAAAGUCACAGUUGAAAGUGCUGAAGCUACUCUUAAGUAUAAUGUUGCAAUCAAAUGCGCAACAAUAACUCCAGAUGAAACUCGUAUGAAGGAGUUCAACCUAAAAUCUAUGUGGAGGAGUCCAAAUGGGACGAUCAGAAACAUUUUGAAUGGCACUGUGUUCAGAGAGCCAAUCAUCUGCAAAAAUGUUCCAAGGCUCGUUCCAGGAUGGACCAAACCCAUAUGCAUUGGAAGACAUGCUUUUGGUGACCAGUACCGUGCAACUGAUACAGUUAUUAAAGGACCUGGAAAGCUGAAAUUAGUAUUUGAGGGGAAAGAAGAGCAAGCUGAGCUAGAGGUUUUCAACUUCACUGGUGCUGGUGGCGUGGCCUUGUCUAUGUACAACACGGACGAGUCCAUUCGUGCUUUUGGUGAGGCUUCAAUGAAUAUGGCUUACCAGAAAAGGUGGCCACUUUACCUUAGCACCAAAAAUACGAUUCUGAAGAAGUAUGAUGGAAGGUUUAAAGACAUAUUUCAAGAGGUAUAUGAAACUGGUUGGAAAUCAAAGUAUGAGGCUGCAGGAAUAUGGUAUGAACAUCGUCUGAUUGAUGAUAUGGUUGCCUAUGCACUUAAGAGUGAAGGUGGUUAUGUAUGGGCUUGCAAGAACUAUGAUGGAGACGUACAGAGUGAUUUCUUAGCUCAAGGUUUUGGAUCUCUUGGAUUGAUGACAUCAGUGCUGGUGUGCCCUGAUGGGAAAACAAUUGAAGCUGAGGCUGCACAUGGCACAGUCACACGUCAUUUCCGGGUUCACCAAAAAGGAGGUGAAACUAGUACAAAUAGCAUUGCUUCAAUCUUUGCCUGGUCACGUGGGCUUGCACACAGGGCGAAGCUAGACAACAAUGGCCAGCUGCUUGAUUUCACUGAAAAACUUGAAGCUUCUUGUAUAGGAACAGUGGAGUCUGGAAAGAUGACUAAAGACCUAGCUCUUCUCAUUUAUGGAUCUAAGGUUACUAGAGAUCAGUAUCUGAACACGGAAGAGUUUAUUGAUGCAGUGGCAGAAGAGCUGAGGGCAAGACUUUCUCGCAAAUCAAAGUUGUAAACCCCUCACACCAUCUACGAUUUAAGCUGAAAUAGUCUUUUGAAAGCUGUCCUUUGAUUCGGCAUCAUUGUGGUCUGAUUAGGCUGGAGCUGUGGAAUAAAGGAUUUUGAUUAUCAUGUUAUGUGGAGGCUAUAUAUCUUCGGACAAUAAUUAGUAAAUCUUUUUGUUAGCCAUCAACUAUAUUAUGGUUCCAAAUUCAUAGUCCAUCAUGUGUGUUGUGCUUAAACUUUUAGUACAUGACACAUUUUUAUCUCAUUUCUGAGCUUAAAUCCACUGCUUGGUUUCAUCUUUCACAAAUAAUUGAUGCACCCUCAAAAUUGAAGAGAUUGCAUU
This is an RNA transcript of Elaeis guineensis (African oil palm), 1731 nucleotides long. It is a transcript of the gene named isocitrate dehydrogenase [NADP], with no coding region annotated. NCBI's taxonomy places the organism in Eukaryota, Viridiplantae, Streptophyta, Magnoliopsida, Arecales, Arecaceae. The record is from RefSeq and is a predicted model, not a curated record.